GAAAUGCGAUAAGUAGUGUGAAUUGCAGAAUUCAGUGAAUCAUCGAAUCUUUGAAUGCACAUUGCGCUUCCUGGAAUCCCGGGAAGCAUGCCCAUUUCAGAAUCAUUUAAACACUCUCCUGCUUUGGUGUGCUGCAUUCGUGCGGCAUGCUUGAGCGGGCAGGAGUCUGGACCUUUUGUAAACCCCUGCAAUGGUCUGUAAAUGAUUGUAUGUACUGCAAUCGCUAUGUUGAUUGUCAAUGAAACAGCAACAGAUUUUUCUAAUACUGUUUAAUUGCAAUCGAGAUUGAUUUCAGGAUGUCAUCCAAUAACCACACAGAAAGCGAGACAAUUUUGUCGUGCUCUCUGUCAACUUGGUCUGAAAUUGGCAAGAAAACCCGCUGAACUUAA
RNAcentral lists this unclassified non-coding RNA (389 nucleotides) under uncultured Chytridiomycota. Its description in RNAcentral is "sequence contains ITS1". The stretch from base 1 to 105 matches the Rfam family "5.8S ribosomal RNA", at positions 50 to 154 of the family's 154-position model. Lineage: Eukaryota; Fungi; Chytridiomycota. The record is from RNAcentral.